UACGAGGGGUGCAAGCGUUGCUCGGAAUCAUUGGGCGUAAAGGGUAGGUAGGUGGUCUCAUUUGUCAGGGGUGAAAGCCUUGGGCUUAACCCGAGAAGUGCCCCUGAAACGGUGAGACUGGAGUCCUGGAGAGGGUCGUGGAAUUCCCGGUGUAGCGGUGAAAUGCGUAGAGAUCGGGAGGAACACCAGAGGCGAAGGCGGCGACCUGGACAGGUACUGACACUCAACUACGAAAGCGUGGGGAGCAAACAGG
This 253-nucleotide ribosomal RNA is filed under the name uncultured bacterium. RNAcentral describes it as "partial 16S ribosomal RNA". It matches the Rfam family "Bacterial small subunit ribosomal RNA", at positions 524 to 776 of the family's 1533-position model. The record is from RNAcentral.